CCUACGGGAGGCAGCAGUGGGGAAUUUUGGACAAUGGGCGAAAGCCUGAUCCAGCAAUGCCGCGUGAGUGAAGAAGGCCUUCGGGUUGUAAAGCUCUUUUGUCAGGGAAGAAACGGUGGGAGCUAAUAUCUCUUGCUAAUGACGGUACCUGAAGAAUAAGCACCGGCUAACUACGUGCCAGCAGCCGCGGUAAUACGUAGGGUGCAAGCGUUAAUCGGAAUUACUGGGCGUAAAGCGUGCGCAGGCGGUUUUGUAAGUCUGAUGUGAAAUCCCCGGGCUCAACCUGGGAAUUGCAUUGGAGACUGCAAGGCUAGAAUCUGGCAGAGGGGGGUAGAAUUCCACGUGUAGCAGUGAAAUGCGUAGAUAUGUGGAGGAACACCGAUGGCGAAGGCAGCCCCCUGGGUCAAGAUUGACGCUCAUGCACGAAAGCGUGGGGAGCAAACAGGAUUAGAUACCCUGGUAGUCCACGCCCUAAACGAUGUCUACUAGUUGUCGGGUCUUAAUUGACUUGGUAACGCAGCUAACGCGUGAAGUAGACCGCCUGGGGAGUACGGUCGCAAGAUUAAAACGUCAAAGGAAUUGACGGCGAGAGACGAGCGAGGACGACGACGAGGGAGGAGG
This 621-nucleotide ribosomal RNA is filed under the name uncultured bacterium. RNAcentral describes it as "bacterial SSU rRNA". It matches the Rfam family "Bacterial small subunit ribosomal RNA", at positions 338 to 951 of the family's 1533-position model. The record is from RNAcentral.